This 891-nucleotide ribosomal RNA is filed under the name uncultured bacterium. RNAcentral's name for it is "bacterial SSU rRNA". It matches the Rfam family "Bacterial small subunit ribosomal RNA", at positions 9 to 918 of the family's 1533-position model. The record is from RNAcentral.
GAGUUCGCUUCUGGCUCAGGAUGAACGUGGGCGGUGUGCCUAAUACAUGCAAGUCGAACGGAGAUAAUAGCAAUAUUGUCUUAGGGCGAAACGGGUGAGUAACGCGUUGGUGAUCUGCCCCGAAGUGGGGAAUAACAAUUCGAAAGAAUUGCUAAUACCCCAUGUGAUCUUAGAGAUUUGAUGCUCUUUGAUUAAAGGAUUUAUUCGCUUCGGGAGGAGCCUGCGUCCCAUCAGCUAGUUGGUAAGGUAAUGGCUUACCAAGGCGAUGACGGGUAGGGGACCUGAGAGGGUGGCCCCCCACAAUGGAACUGAAACACGGUCCAUACACCUACGGGUGGCAGCAGUAGGGAAUAUUAGUAAUGGGCGAAAGCCUGAACUAGCAACACCGCGUGUGCGAUGAAGGCCUUCGGGUUGUAAAGCACUUUUAGAGAGGACGAGGAAGGACGGUACUCUCUGAAUAAGUCUCGGCUAACUACGUGCCAGCAGCCGCGGUAAAACGUAGGAGGCGAACGUUAUCCGGAUUUACUGGGCGUAAAGCGCGUGUAGGUGGUUUGGUAAGUAGGGCGUGAAAGCUCCUGGCUCAACUGGGAGAGGUCGUUCUAAACUGCCGGACUAGAGGAUGGUAGAGGGAAGUGGAAUUCCGGGUGUAGCGGUGGAAUGCGCAGAUAUCCGGAGGAACACCAGUGGCGAAAGCGGCUUCCUGGACCAACCCUGACACUCAGACGCGAAAGCUAGGGUAGCAAACGGGAUUAGAGACCCCGGUAGUCCUAGCCGUAAACGAUGUAGACUUGACGUCGGUGGUUUAAUAUCCAUCGGUGUCGUAGCCAACGCGAUAAGUCUACCGCCUGGGGACUACGGCCGCAAGGUUAAAACUCAAAGGAAUUGACGGGG